GGACGAACGGCGUGUUACAGCUUGGAAAGUGGAGAAGACUAAAUUCCCAUUGGGAAUGGACCGAUAUGACUUAUAGGUAUCGCCUAGUUGGUUUCUACCCCUGAGAACAGCAAAACGGCCCCUGUCCCAGCUGGACAUCAAACUGACGGAUUUGGCAUCCAAGUGCUGGGUCUGCUCUUCGGAGUUACCCUUACGUACAAAUUGAGCUGACACGUCUCUUCAUAGGGUUCCCCCUUAACUAGCCCCAGAGGUCUCUCGGACCGUGCCCGGACUCAGGAUCAAGGUUUGCGGAACCUUGGCCCGUUCCAUGAGCGAUACGCAUGACCAAAAGAGGCGUCCAUUCCGACUCAUUUCGAAGCUGCCCUGCUGGGCGAAGGGUGGAGUGGACUCCCGCCCCAUCCCCACGCUACAUGCUCCAAGUGCAUAUGUCGCCUGUUGACACUUCGAGACGGAGGGCACUCAUCUCCUCAGAGAGCUGCUCCGCAUGGACAAUUGGUUCUCUCCCUCAACUGGACAUGAGAGAAACCCGCAUGGGUUUCGCCAUCAACAUGGACAUAUUGAGUCUGACUCACUCCAAUGGGAAGAUAAUCUACCCUUUGAUAGAUUUAAUGAACAUGUCUCACUUUGGUAUGUUAGCAGAGAUUAAAUAUCUUGGUUAAAUUGAGAUUUACUUUUAGGAAUCCAAGAUAAAUUGAUCUAUAAGUAUUUAAAAGAAAAAGUGAAACUUAGGAUCCAGUUUAAAGACAAACAUUUUAGUUUUACUGAUAUUUUAUUUAUUUGCUCUAUGUGAGACAAGUUGCUUAGGAAGGAAUAUUGAUUUGGACUGAUUACAAUUACUAAUCCAAUUCUGUAGUUAGCCUAACAACUGAUUGCUUUUCAUAAUCUAAUGUAUCAUAUUUUUUUUUUCUGAGAACAGCACAUAAGUAAAUAUAUCACCUAAAAUAAGGUACAAUAUAACAACAAGUUCUUGCGAGGUACCCAGAGUAUUUAGCAACCAACCCAUCCUAUUUCUAUCGAAGUUAAGAGCCCAAAUAUAAACAGUUAUAAUAAUUGGGGGGGAAGAAGCAAAGAGAAAAAAAAAACACAGCGAAUACCAUG
This is a non-coding RNA of Pelobates cultripes (western spadefoot toad), 1098 nucleotides long. The record is from the annotation of a GenBank genome assembly. Lineage: Eukaryota; Metazoa; Chordata; Amphibia; Anura; Pelobatidae.